UAAUUCUAUCAACUUUAUUCAUGUAAAAAUUACAAUAUAAUUCUUAUUUACUUUCUUUCUCACUAUAAAAUACACAGAAUAAACUUUUAAAGCAUUAAAACACUGAACUUUGGGGGGACAAUAUAUAACAGCACUAAAAAGGUACACAUAAAAUUCAUGACUAAGGCAACAUCAAAUUAAUUUCCUGUUUUUCAAAUUCAUACUCUUUAGAUGUCCAAAGCACUCUUUUUUUUUUUUGUAGAACAGCAAUAAAUUUUCUCUAGACAUGUCAGAUUUUAAUUUUUAUUCUAAGAAAUAAUUGCUCAUGGAAAAAUACUUUCGAAAUUGAGUUAUGGUAUAAUAGAUAUAGAGUUAUGGUUUAAUAGAUAUUGGGGAAAGUUUAUUACCUCCCCUUUUCUUUCAAGAUAAAAUCUGAAAAAUAAGAAAUUAAUUUCCCAUGGCCUUAAAAAAUGUAACUAUCAAUUACAACAUGACUUUAUGUACAAGGCAUUAGUCUAGUUUAAGAUUGAAAAUGUCUGCUUACACAUGUAUAUAAAUUGGUUUAUCAAAACACCAGUUUUACCCCAAAAAAAUAUAUAUAGAUAGGUUAAUUAGUAUUGCAUUAUUCACUUUUAGUUAUUUUUUAUAAUUGUACAAGUAAAAAGAUGAAUUGAUGUAAAUAUAAAGUAAUACAGUUACCAAAACAAUAAAUGAAACCAAAUUUGUUCCAGUUUUGAGCGAGUAUUACGCAAAGAACAGAGAUUCACAUAAAAAUAUCAAUAUUUUUCUGAUGAUAAAUUGAACAAAACUUUGUUUACAUAAUAUAAUGUACCCUUUGUAACAUGUAUGAAUAGAUAGACCAAUGGAUGCCACUGAAAUCAUAUAAAGUUACAAAUUAUCAAACGCAUAUGUCCCAAGGGAUUUGACCUCAGCCUGUUUCAAUUUAAUUUACCAUCAAAACUUUUACCAAUUUGAAAGAACUUUUAUUAAAUUAAAAUUGAAUCAAAACAUAUUUUUGAGGUCAUUGUCAUUUGAAGCUUCCAUGUAAAAAAUAAACAGCUGUUCAUUUACUGUAAGAAUAUGUCAUACUUGUAAGUAUAUAAAUAGAAAACCUUCUUUUAAAAUGUGACUCUUCAAAUAUAUUUAAUUUAAACAUAUCUUCUGUACUUUGGUUACGCAUCAACAAUAUUCUAGAGGGACAUCCAUUGGUAUCAUAUCUUAGUCAAUACAAAUUAUGGUUCAACAAGUAUCUUUGAUAAUAAACAAUGCGUUGUUAAUGACAUGAUGCUCCUGUUAAAGGCAACAUCUUUUCUGUUUCUUUACUAAAGUAAAAUCUGCACCUAUUCCACAUGUGAAUAAAUUGAACACAAAAUGAAUCUUGUAAGAUCUCCCAUAAAUACAAUAAUUUAGCAUGUUAAAAAUUUAAAUUAAAAUUAAAAGCCUAUUUACAUGCACUGUUUAUAUCUAAAAUCUGUACAAUCUUGAGAAGCAAUGGAAAAAAUGCAAUGAACGUCAAAAUUGUUACAUUUAAUAAAUAAAUUCUCUUUCAAUAAAUAUUUCAGAUCUUUUUCUCUUUCCAUAAACAUUUCAGAAAUCUUUUUAAGAAUUUCAAGAUGCAAUAAUUCCUCGAAUGGCACAAGUUUAAACAAUAAUGAAGCUACCAUUUGUUCAACCAUUAAGAAGAAUGUAAAAGUAAAACCUGUUUAUUUUAAGGCACAACUCAGAGAAUAUUUUGAGAUCUAAGGGCAAAACUAAUUAAUUUAUUAGACUUUAUUAACCAACUAAGUACAUUAUUGCCAAAAAUGACUGGUUAUUAAAAAUAACAUAUUUUCUGUAAUGGCCCUGUAAUUGUUUUUCUGUAAUGGCCUUGUUUUUCUGUAAUGGCCCUGUAUUAAUGCCCGGUUUGUCUGUGUACAGCACAGUUAGGGUUUUUAAUAAAGUUAAUAAAAUUAAGUUGUAAAGAGUAUAAUACUUUUUUUGUAUUUUAUUUAAUUUAGUAACCAGCAACCAACAUUAAAGAACCAUAUAUAGGGAUCACUGUUCCUCCUGUUUUUCAACACAUAACUUCUGUCAACUUAAUAUCUUGGAUAUUUGGUAUAUUAACACAUACACUUUUAUUCAGUUGGUUAAUAAAUGUAUUAAGAAAUGGGUGUUUUUUUAAUAAUGGCUCUGUUAUAUGUCCUCGGUCAGUAAUAAUGGCCUCGGAUGUCUGUAAUGUCCCUCGGCGUUGCCUCGGGCCAUUACAGACUUCCUCGACCAUUAUAACAGACCUUGGACAAAUAACAGGGCCAUUAUAAAAACACCCAUUCAUUAAUACUAUAAUAGUAUAUACUUUAUGUUGGGAAUAAUUCAACAAUACAGACUAUUACAAUACUUCAGAACAAAAAAAAACAUGUCUAUUCUUCCAAGAUUUUUUAAUUUAUUUUUUUUGUAUAAUUUUUUAUGUUGGACACAGCCAUUUUUCUUGUUUUUUUAAAGUAAAAUAAAUUGGCUACUGAGUAAACUGCUGAUUUUAAUGUAUACGUUCAUCAUGAAUAUGUUACUCUUUCAAUAUAAGAAAAUUUAAUACUAUAAUUUUAAGAAUUUUUGCAUUAAAAACAAUUGUUUUUAUUCAGAUAUUGCUGUUCCUAAAACUUCAUUCAAGAACCAAAACAUGUACAAUGUAUUAUGCUUAGCCAGUAUCACCAUGAUUGAGGAUGUUGAUUUUUUCAACAAUAUAAUUAAAAUACCUAGCAAUGGUUUAAACUGACAAUGACUAAACUUGAAAUAUUAACAUUUAUAUUGACUUAAUGGGGUACAAUGCUGACCAGUUACUACGACAGUGUGAUAAUAGUUGCAUUAUAUAUGUUAAGACUUUUGACUCAGAGAUUAACCACAGAUGAACAGAGUUACUGGACUUGAUUUUGACUAAAAACAUCAAAAAUUGCAAAAUUUAAUCUUCUAAUCUGUGCAAUACAGUAGUGGAUGUGCUCAUUUUGUACUUAUAAAGUACACAACACUUAAAAAAACAAUUCUGUAUAACAAAAUAGCAGUUUCAUAAUUCUUCUCAAUAGCUGCUCAAAAUUGAAAUUUAAAUGCUUUGUUUUCAUGAUUUCUAAAAACACCAAAUAUACAUAUAUUUUUGUAUUUAUAACUUUCUCUAACACAUAUUGACAAGAAAACAUACCUGAAAUUCUAUAAAUAUAUUUCAUAAAUAUGAGGUAUCAAGUUUUUACGAGGCUUUAAUUUACUUUGGUAUAUAGCCUUUAACGAACUAAUCACAUCUUGACUAGAAAAAGGCAAGCUAUAUUUAAUUAUUGGUUAAUCUUUGUACAAUCUUACUCAGGACAAAAAUAAUCAUUCACUAUUUUUCUGACUGAACAUUUAUUUAUUUCCACAACUGGAAUUUGUAUUUUUAUUUCCUUUCCCUUUUUCUGUAAAAAUCUAGUUUCAUAUACUUUCUGAUACUUUUCAAAGGUCAGUCAGAAAAUAGCAGUAAACAAAUAUAUUUUAAAAUCCUCACUACCUAACAACUGGCCACACAGAUGAGUUAUAAAAUGCAUGUUAAAUUUAAUAUAUUAACAGUUAGCUAAGUAUAUUUAAGCAUAAUUCUAUUCUAAAUUUAGAAAUUACAGUUUCCUUUCAAAUAAAAUAUUUACAUCAUUUUUCUCUUAUUGCAAUGUUAAACAUUAGUGACCAAUAACCAAUUAGAAUAAAAUAUUGUUUCCUUGAACCGUUUUUCUAAAUAUCGACAAAUGUUUUCUGCCAAAACUGAUUGAAAGAAGUCUAUUAAUGAAAUUUUGUAACUGUUUCUAAAUUUAUUAUUUACUAUAUUUUGUGACAGACACCUGGAUUUUUUUAUUCUAAUUGACUUUUGAGAGUAUGAAUUUUAAAUCACCUUUGAUAAAAUCUUAAUUUUCUUUAGAGAAAAAUAAACAAAUUUAACUUUCUUGCCCUGUAACUUCAACUAACAACAUGUUUCUUUAAAAUUUAAAAUAUUUCAAGUUACCCUGUGAGAAGAACAAUAAACAGUUAUAAAAUCUAUAGUAAGACAAAACAACUUUACAAAUACAAUGCAUAAUAUACAUAUGAUAAAAUAUACCAUCAUCUAUAAAGCUAUUAAUGAGGUAGACCUAUUAAGGGACAUAACUCUUAAAAAUCACUGCUACGUUUUU
RNAcentral lists this long non-coding RNA (4133 nucleotides) under Mytilus galloprovincialis (Mediterranean mussel). Lineage: Eukaryota; Metazoa; Mollusca; Bivalvia; Mytilida; Mytilidae. The record is from RNAcentral.